UUUUUUUUUUGCUAGCAUGGUUGAGACUACGUCACAAAAUAAUGUCAGUAGAGCAGUGGAUCUCUAACCAUGAUGGUAUGCGGACCCCAAAAAUAGCCUAUAAUCUCAAUAAACACUCUGAUGAGGUCUGCUCGUCAACUGAAAGUUAUAACAUCACAGCUGGACAUUUUGGAAGACAUGAAAAAUGAGUUUGAAAACCUACUUGCUAAUAUCAAUAAUGUUUUGCAGAAAGGAUUCAAAUGGAUAAAUGAUGAGAGCAAUGAACUAAGUUUUAUGGAAUUGAAUCAAUUACUUGCAAAUGGAACUUCAGAAUGUUUAACCAAAUGUCUUGUUAUUGCAGAUGGAAGUGAACAAUCAUCUCAUCAAAUUCUUACCAAAGAAACAGAAAAUACAGAUGUUUUAUCAUCAACUUCUUGCUCAAGUUCAAGUAGUCAAGAUGAUUUUCAGAAAAUUAAGGCAGACAUAUCUGAAAUAGAAAAGUCACAGUCUAAAAAAUUUAAGCUAAUAAAUCAAAAGUUGGCAAGCCUUGAAAAACAAACUAUGGAAACUAACUUAAACGAUAUAGACACAAAAUAUAGUUCAAAAUUUGAAGAGAUUAUGAAAGAAUUUCAUUCUGCCAGUGAGUUUAUGUCACAUCUACAAUCUCAGAAUGAAACGUUAGCUAAUAUAGUGAAGGAGAAAACUGAAGAAAUAAAUGGCAUACAUCAGACACUUAAUGACAUCAAAGCACAAAGCAUAACCAGUUCUAGUAAUUUUAUUUCAACUGAUACUCAAACUUGUGAUGAAGUUUGUGAAAAGCUAUUAGACAACACCAAAAUGGUUGAGGCAUUGCAGUCUCUAUCAGCAAAAGUAAAUGCAAUGGAAUUUAAAUUUAACAACAUAUCCACAGUAGUAGGUGAACCAGAGAAAUGUGUGGAUAAUCUCUCAGAUGACACAACAUCACUUAAACUUUCCAUGGAGAAAAUGUUAAAGGAUAUAAAAGACAGAUGCUUUAGAAAAUAAAGUCACAAUCGUUGAUAAAAAGAUUGAUGAAUUAAAUGAGGACAUACAGUUUCAGUUAUUGUCUUGUGACCAGUUUGCUGUAGGAUUUGAUGCAUGUGUUGAUGGAGACAUUUCAGUGAAGUUUAACUUAAAAAAGAACAGAGUUUUAACCUGUUUUAAUAAAGUACUGGAAGAUGUGCAAGAUGACUUUGAUGCAACAACAGGGAUUUUUACAGUACCAUGUGAUGGCUUAUACCUGUGCUGUCUGUUUAUUGAUAUCGUUACCUUUGUGCAGUAUAAUUUGCAGUUUUGUAUUUAUGUCAAGAACAGUGAAGGCUCUGAAAAUGUUAUUGCCACAUGUCACUGUAGACACAGAGACACCAUUGUCAGCGAUGUUGCAAUACGACAAUUAGAAAAGGGGGAUAAAGUUUUUGUAAUGUCAUGUGAUAACCACAAAAAGAUACAAUUGAGCCAAUAUUCCCAUUUUAUUUGUGUAUUAUUAAAGAAAAUAUAAUAUUAGUAGCCUACAAAUGCAAGAGCAUUU
Biomphalaria glabrata is the source of this 1525-nucleotide RNA transcript. RefSeq lists it as uncharacterized. Lineage: Eukaryota; Metazoa; Mollusca; Gastropoda; Planorbidae. The record is from RefSeq and is a predicted model, not a curated record. The transcript has 7 exons.